Molecule: transfer RNA, 72 nt
Filed under: Sphaerodactylus townsendi
Lineage: Eukaryota; Metazoa; Chordata; Lepidosauria; Squamata; Sphaerodactylidae
Description: tRNA-Gly
Rfam family: tRNA
About the family: Transfer RNA (tRNA) molecules are approximately 80 nucleotides in length. Their secondary structure includes four short double-helical elements and three loops (D, anti-codon, and T loops). Further hydrogen bonds mediate the characteristic L-shaped molecular structure. tRNAs have two regions of fundamental functional importance: the anti-codon, which is responsible for specific mRNA codon recognition, and the 3' end, to which the tRNAs corresponding amino acid is attached (by aminoacyl-tRNA synthetases). tRNAs cope with the degeneracy of the genetic code in two manners: having more than one tRNA (with a specific anti-codon) for a particular amino acid; and 'wobble' base-pairing, i.e. permitting non-standard base-pairing at the 3rd anti-codon position.
Source: RNAcentral
GGAGUUGUGGCUCAGGGGUACAGCUUCUGCUAGCCAUGCAGAAAGUCCUCGGUUCAAUCUUUGGCAUCUCCA